CCAUGCCGCGUGAGUGAUGAAGGCCCUAGGGUUGUAAAGCUCUUUCGGCGGGGAAGAUAAUGACGGUACCCGCAGAAGAAGCCCCGGCAACUUCGUGCCAGCAGCCGCGGUAAUACGAAGGGGGCUAGCGUUGCUCGGAAUCACUGGGCGUAAAGCGCACGUAGGUGGAUCUUUAAGUCAGGGGUGAAAUCCCGGAGCUCAACUCCGGAACUGCCUCUGAUACUGAGGGUCUCGAGUCCGGGAGAGGCGAGUGGAAUUCCGAGUGUAGAGGUGAAAUUCGUAGAUAUUCGGAGGAACACCAGUGGCGAAGGCGACUCGCUGGUCUUGUGGUGACGCUGAGACGCGAAAGCGUGGGGAGCAAACAGGAUUAGAUACCCUGGUAGUCCACGCUGUAAACGAUGAGAGCUAGUUGUCGGCAUGCAUGCAUGUCGGUGACGCAGCUAACGCAUUAAGCUCUCCGCCUGGGGAGUACGGCCGCAAGGUUA
RNAcentral lists this ribosomal RNA (485 nucleotides) under uncultured Pseudomonadota bacterium. RNAcentral's name for it is "bacterial SSU rRNA". It matches the Rfam family "Bacterial small subunit ribosomal RNA", at positions 392 to 896 of the family's 1533-position model. Lineage: Bacteria; Pseudomonadati; Pseudomonadota. The record is from RNAcentral.